RNAcentral lists this ribosomal RNA (190 nucleotides) under uncultured soil bacterium. Its description in RNAcentral is "partial 16S ribosomal RNA". It matches the Rfam family "Bacterial small subunit ribosomal RNA", at positions 338 to 523 of the family's 1533-position model. The record is from RNAcentral.
CCUACGGGAGGCAGCAGUCGGGAAUUUUGGGCAAUGGGCGAAAGCCUGACCCAGCAACGCCGCGUGAAGGAUGAAAUCCUUCGGGAUGUAAACUUCGCAAGAAUGGGAAGAAUGAGCGAGUACUAAUACUGCUCGUGAUGACGGUACCAUUUGUAAGCUCCGGCUAACUCUGUGCCAGCAGCCGCGGUAA